Molecule: small RNA, 295 nt
Filed under: Sclerotinia borealis F-4128
Lineage: Eukaryota; Fungi; Ascomycota; Leotiomycetes; Helotiales; Sclerotiniaceae
Description: 5' ureB small RNA
Rfam family: 5' ureB small RNA
Source: Rfam by way of RNAcentral
CUUCAUAGACUUGUUGAGGGCAGAUGAAGUGAAUGUGAGUGUCAAAGCCACCGGCGGUAAUGAUCUUACCUUCCCCAGCAACAACGUCGGUACAAGAUCCAACUAUCAUGUUCGGACUGACACAGUCCAUCACAUCUGGAUUACCAGCCUUACCAAUACCUACUAUUAAACCAUUCUUGACACCGAUAUCGGCCUUGUAAAUACCGGUCCAAUCCACGAUUAGGGCAUUGACAAUGACAAGAUCCAGUGAUAUUUCGUCAGAUACGCCGGUAGCCUGGCCCAUACCUUCUCGCAG